This 253-nucleotide ribosomal RNA is filed under the name uncultured bacterium. RNAcentral's name for it is "partial 16S ribosomal RNA". It matches the Rfam family "Bacterial small subunit ribosomal RNA", at positions 524 to 776 of the family's 1533-position model. The record is from RNAcentral.
UACGUAGGGCGCAAGCGUUGUCCGGAAUUAUUGGGCGUAAAGAGCUCGUAGGCGGUCUGUCGCGUCUGCCGUGAAAACCCGAGGCUUAACCUCGGGCUGGCGGUGGAUACGGGCAGACUAGAGGUAGGUAGGGGAGAAUGGAAUUCCUGGUGUAGCGGUGAAAUGCGCAGAUAUCAGGAAGAACACCUAUGGCGAAAGCAGCUCUCUGGGACGGUACUGACGCUGAGACGCGAAAGCGUGGGGAGCGAACAGG